RNAcentral lists this ribosomal RNA (469 nucleotides) under uncultured bacterium. RNAcentral's name for it is "bacterial SSU rRNA". It matches the Rfam family "Bacterial small subunit ribosomal RNA", at positions 335 to 799 of the family's 1533-position model. The record is from RNAcentral.
ACUCCUACGGGAGGCAGCAGUGGGGAAUAUUGCACAAUGGGCGAAAGCCUGAUGCAGCCAUGCCGCGUGUGUGAAGAAGGCCUCGGUUGUAAGACACUUCUAGCGAGGAGGAAAGGUUAGACGGUUAAGUAACCGUCCAGCUGUGACGUUACUCGCAGAAGAAGACACCGGCUAACUCCGUGCCAGCAGCCGCGGUAAUACGGAGGUGCGAGCGUAAUCGAAUUACUGGCGUAAGACGCAUGCAGGCGGCCAAGUCAGUCAGAUGUGAAAGCCCGGGCUUAACCUGGGAAUUGCAUUUGAAACUGCUUGGCUAGAGUCCUUGAGAGGGGGUAGGAAUUUCAGGUGUAGCGGUGAAAUGCGUAGAGAUCUGAAGGAAUACCAGUGCGAAGGCGGCCCCCUGGCAAGAGACUGACGCUCAGAUGCGAAAGCGUGGGGAGCAAACAGGAUUAGAUACCCUGGUAGGAUAGCG